CAAUAGCGUAUAUUUAAGUUGUUGCAGUUAAAAAGCUCGUAGUUGGAUUUCGGAUGGGACUUGCCGGUCCGUCGUUUCGAUGUGCACUGGCCAGUCCUAUCUUGUUGUCGGGGACUAGCUCCUGGGCUUCACUGUCCGGGACUAGGAGCUGACGAGGUUACUUUGAGUAAAUUAGAGUGUUCAAAGCAAGCCUACGCUCUGAAUACAUUAGCAUGGAAUAACACGAUAGGACUCUGGCUUAUCUUGUUGGUCUGUGAGACCAGAGUAAUGAUUAAGAGGGACAGUCGGGGGCAUUCGUAUUUCAUUGUCAGAGGUGAGAUUCUUGGAUUUAUGAAAGACGAACUUCUGCGAAAGCAUUUGUCAAGGAUGUUUUCAUUAA
RNAcentral lists this ribosomal RNA (379 nucleotides) under uncultured eukaryote. Its description in RNAcentral is "partial 18S ribosomal RNA". It matches the Rfam family "Eukaryotic small subunit ribosomal RNA", at positions 592 to 976 of the family's 1831-position model. The record is from RNAcentral.